GCCACGGUGGUGUAGUGGUAGCACGCGCCUCCCGCUCAGUAUGGGUGAAACGCUGGUUCAACUCCAGCCUGAAGUCGACA
Non-coding RNA from Parelaphostrongylus tenuis, 80 nucleotides. The record is from the annotation of a GenBank genome assembly. Lineage: Eukaryota; Metazoa; Nematoda; Chromadorea; Rhabditida; Metastrongylidae.